RNAcentral lists this ribosomal RNA (491 nucleotides) under uncultured bacterium. RNAcentral describes it as "partial 16S ribosomal RNA". It matches the Rfam family "Bacterial small subunit ribosomal RNA", at positions 29 to 507 of the family's 1533-position model. The record is from RNAcentral.
AGUGAACGCUGGCGGUAGGCCUAACACAUGCAAGUCGAACGGCAGCACAGUAAGAGCUUGCUCUUACGGGUGGCGAGUGGCGGACGGGUGAGGAAUACAUCGGAAUCUACUUUUUCGUGGGGGAUAACGUAGGGAAACUUACGCUAAUACCGCAUACGACCUACGGGUGAAAGCAGGGGAUCUUCGGACCUUGCGCGAUUGAAUGAGCCGAUGUCGGAUUAGCUAGUUGGCGGGUAAAGGCCCACCAAGGCGACGAUCCGUAGCUGGUCUGAGAGGAUGAUCAGCCACACUGGAACUGAGACACGGUCCAGACUCCUACGGGAGGCAGCAGUGGGGAAUAUUGGACAAUGGGCGCAAGCCUGAUCCAGCAAUACCGCGUGGGUGAAGAAGGCCUUCGGGUUGUAAAGCCCUUUUGUUGGGAAAGAAAAGCAGCAGGUUAAUACCCCGCUGUUCUGACGGUACCCAAAGAAUAAGCACCGGCUAACUUCGUG